CUGUUUUCUCCUUUUUGUUGUUAUUAUCACCAAUUAUCUCUUUAUACAUUGCAUAUCCAUUAACACACAUAACUAUUGUUUUGUGCAUUGUCUUUUAAAUUGAAUAGGGGAAAAAGAGGAGUUAGAAACCAAAAACUGCAAUAUUGGACUUUAUCUAUGUAACUAUUUUUUCACUGGUCUCUACUUCUUUAUAUGGCUUGGAGAUACUUCCUAGUUUCCUUUCAUUUCAACAUGUAGGACUCCUUUUAGCAUUUCUUCUAGAGCAGAUCUACUAGCAUUUUUUGUAGAUUAAAACUACUAGACAACUCCUUCAGUUUUUGUUUAUCUGGGAAUGUCUUAAUUCCUCUUUUCAUGAAUAUAUAAUUCUUUAUUUUUAAAAAAUUUUAAUUAAAAAAAAGUAGAAACAGGGUCUUGCCAUGUUGUUCCUGGGCUCAAAUGAUCUGCCUACCUUGGCCUCCCAAAGUGCUGGGAUUACAGGUGUGAGCUACUGUGCCUGGCUGGAUAUAGAACUCUUAGUUAACAGUUUUUUUCUUUCAGCAGUUCAGAUAUGUCAUCUCUCUGCUUCUUGGCCUUCAUAUUUUCUGAAAAGAAAUCAGCUAGUAAUCUUACUGAGAAUCCCUUGUAUGUGAAGAGUCAUUUCUCUCUUGCUGCUUUCAAGAUUCCUUCCUUGUCAUUGGACACUUCAAUUAUAAUGCGUCUCAUUGUGGAUCUCUUUGAAUUUAUCCUGCAUGGAGUUUGUUGAGCUUCUUGGAUGUAUAAUUUCAUCAUAUUUUGGAAGUUUUCAGCCAUUACUUUUUCAAAUAUAUAUAUUUUUGAGACAGAGUUUCACUCUUGUUGCCCAAGCUGUAGUGCAGUGGCGUGAUCUCAGCUUACUGCAACCUCCACCUCCCUGGUCAAGCAAUUCUCCUGACUCAACCUUCCGAGUAGCAGGGAUUACCAGUGCCCGCCGCCAUGACCGGCUAAUUUUUUGUAUUUUUAGUAGAGACAGGGUUUCACCAUGUUGGCCAGGCUGGUCUCUAACUCCUGAUCUCAGGUGGUCCACCUGCCUCGGCACCCAAAGUAUUGGGAUUACAGGCUUGAGCCACUGCGCCCGGCUGCUUCAAACAUUCUUUCUGCAUUUUCCUCCUUUCUUUCUGGAAUUCUUAUUAUGUCUGUUUGAUAGUGUCUUGUGGAUUUCUUAGGCUCAGUUCAUUGUUGGUCAUUCUUUUUUUUUUUUUUUUGAGACGGAGUUUCAUUGUUGUUGUCCAGGCUAGAGUGCAAUGGCGUGGUCUUGGCUCACUGCAACCUCUGCCUCCCGGGUUCAACUGAUUCUCCUGCCUCAGCCUCCCAAGUAGCUAGGAUUACAGGCGCCUGCCACCACACCCAGCUAAUUUUUGUAUUUUUAGUAGAGAUGGGGUUUCACCUGUGUUAGCCAGGAUGGUCUCAAUCUCCUGACCUCGUGAUCUGCCCGCCUUGGCCUCCCAAAGUGCUGGGAUUACAGGCGAGAGCCAUGAGCCUGGCCUGAAAUGUGUUUUUUAAAAAGGAGUGAAGGGGACCCUGGAUGGUUGAUGAUAUAAUACUACUGACUGAAGAAUCUGAUUGAUUUUCCAAUUCUUUGUAUAUAAUUUCUAGAAAACAAAAAUAAAAUAAAGGUAAUAACUAGUAGAGCAGAAGUUGAAAAAUAAAACUUUCAACAGACACAUGGGGAAAGUGGGUAAAGAGAGAGAUGUACAAUAAAGUACAUUUCUUUGAUUUAGUACUGUUUCUUCCUCUGCCUUGAUUCUUUAUUAAAGUUUAAAUAGCAUCAUACGCUAUAAUUUCAGAAAACACUCAAGUUACUGGUUCACUUUCAAAGGAGAGAUUAUGUGCUUUUACUUUAGUUGUACCAAUUUUCAGCUCCUUUAGGAAUGGAGCCAUCAUCCUGGAGUGUUAAAAUGGGCAACAAGAAAGAUAAACUCAUUUUAGCUGUUCUUUUCUAAAGGUAUCCUCCAACCCCUCCUCCAACAUCGAUCCAGACAACUAUGUUGAAAUGAAUGAUUCAAUCACCCACCUACCCUCUAAAGUGGUGAUACAAGAUAUUACUAUGGAGCUACACUGCCCACUGUGCAAUGAUUGGUUCCGAGACCCACUGAUGCUAAGCUGUGGCCACAACUUCUGUCAAGCCUGUAUCCAAGACUUUUGGAGGCUGCAAGCAAAGGAAACAUUCUGUCCUGAGUGUAAGAUGCUAUGUCAGUAUAGCAACUGUACAUUCAACCUUGUACUGGACAAGUUGGUAGAGAAGAUUAAGAAGUUACCCUUACUCAAGGGCCAUCCACAGUGCCCAGAGCAUGGAGAGAACCUGAAACUGUUCAGUAAACCAGAUGGGAAACUGAUCUGCUUUCAAUGCAAGGAUGCUCGGUUGUCUGUGGGGCAGUCUAAGGAGUUCCUGCAAAUCUCUGAUGCUGUCCGUUUCUUCAUGGAGGAGCUUGCCAUCCAACAGGGUCAACUGGAGACAACUCUGAAGGAGCUUCAGUCCCUGAGGAACAUGCAGAAGGAAGCUAUUGCUGCUCACAAGGUGAGGAGCAAGAAAGAAGGGUUAUGAGAUAGAACUGGAACACACCCUCCAUGUAACUUCAGCUAUGGGUACAAAGGUGCCUAACAUAUAUUAUCAACACACUAAAUGGUACCUAGGCUAUAGAAUUGGAAAACUGAGUCUGUAGGGUGGAAAGGAAUAUGGUGGUGGAGUAGGUUCCUAAUAGCUGAUCAACAGAGCAGAUUAACCUUUCCCCUAAUAUGCUGAUCUUUUUGAUGGUUCAGUCACCAGGUGACUGUCGUGGGGUUGAAAUGUGUCUGGUCUUUGGCUUUAUCUAUGGCAAAAAAAAAAGGAACUUAUCAGAAAAAAAAUCAAUCACUAAAGAUUGCUAUGUCCAAAGAAAUACCUUUAUUUCCUUUGAGUUUAUAACCAGACACCUCUGGACUAGGUCUCUAAGGUCAUAGGCUUUUCCCAGCUGAUUUGAUCUUUCUUAGCUUCCUCCAAACUAAAUAAAGCUAUUGUCUGCACUUUUAACUUCAUAGGCACUCUAGGACAACAUUAAUAGCUAGAGAUGUGGCAAACCAGUCCCUAGGUUGGGGUUGCUAAAUUGGAAGUUCUGUUUCUUUAUUCAUUAUUCUAUGGAGAAGAGCUUUCUCAGGUAUUUGGCAUCUGGAAGAAAAAAAUAUGCAGACUCAGGGAAAGAAGAAGGAUAUAGGAAGUAAUGAUGUCUUCAGAAAAUCUUGUUCCUGUUGUAAAAGUUCCUAUUAGUGUGAGCAUUCAUUCAUUCAUUUAACAAAUAUUUAUUGAGUGGGUCAGGCAUAAUACUAGAUAUUGGGGAUGGGAGACAGCUGUUAAUUAAAUAAUCCCACCAGUAAUAAUAAAAUAACAACUGUGAUAAGUACUAUAAAUGAAAGUAUAGGGUAUGAUGAUAGCAUAUAAAUGGAGAACAUAAUCUAGACUGGGGGAGGGGUGUUCUCUGAAGAAGUCACUUAUUAAAAAUUGAGAAUUGAAGGAUAAGUAACUUAUCCAAGUGAACUGGGUGAAUGGGGAUAUGAAGGAGGUAGCCUGGAGAAGAAUGUUCUAGGAAUAGAAAAGAGUAUAUGGAAAAGUCCUGAGAUGGAAAGUUAGCUGCUAUGUUAAACAGAGAAAAGGCCAAUAAAGCUGGAACAUGCUAAGCAAGAUGAUAUUGAUGAGGUGGAUAUGGGCUCCCUGUAACCUCAUACUCUUGGGCUCAAGAGAUCUUCCCACCUCAGCCUCCUGAGUAUCUGGGACUAGUUUGCCACACCUGGCUAAUUAUUUUAUUUUUGGAGAGACUGGGUCUCACUAUGUUGCCCAGUCUUGAACUCCUGUUCCAAGCAAUCCUCCCAGCUUGUCCUCCAUAAGUGUUGGAAUUACAGGUAUGAGCCACUGUGCCCAGCCAAGACUAUCUUAAGGGUGUAAUAAUAAUUAUGGACCAUGGGAUCCAAGCUAGAUAAGAGAGGACACGAAGGUAGAAGUUCCUGAAUAGAAAUGGAGGGAUCGGUGAAUAGGAGGUUUCAAGGAGAUCCAAUAAUUGUUGCAAUAGGAGUAUCUGAGUGAGCCUGGUGCAUAAAAAGUUAUUUUGGAGAUGAUGCAAUUGCUGGGGGUGAUAAAAUCCUAGGUGAGACUAUAGGAAUGAAUCAAUAAAUGUGGAAAUCACUAGAAAUGAGGAAAAUGAGGAACUGAGAAGCCAGGAUGUCAAAUAGUUUAACUGUGAGGAUGUUGAGGUCACCCAAGGAAAAAGCUGCAAGUGUAACAGUGGCAUUCCCCCAGUUCUGAUUUCUAGGUAAGGACAGUUCUUCCAGCCUCUCAAUACCCCCAGUCUAACAGUACCACUUGGCAGCUUUUGGAUUACCAAUCUAGGAGGGUAUUAUCUUUCAUUCUAGAAUGUUUGACUAACUCCACAGUCUUAUUUAAUAUGGCAUUGGUUACCACCUCAGUACUGCAAUAGGAAACUAGAGGUCACUUUUGCCUAUUUCAUCCUGAACUAUUAAAUUAGUUGGAAAAGGAGUAAGUCUCCCAAAGGGCUCAUUUUGGUAUGAUUGAAUUUGAUAUUCAGUAGCCAUUUGUAUGCAUUUUUCUGUGAUGGUAUUUACCAAGUAUGUGAGUGUUGGUGGUGUGGGCCCCCAUCCCCAAGCACUAGUCUCUGCAAUAACCAUGGUGAUAAUCAUGGAGGUUUCCAGGAAAACAAGCUACAUCUGCAGCAACAUGUGUCCAUGGAGUUUCUAAAGCUGCAUCAGUUCCUGCACAGCAAAGAAAAGGACAUUUUAACUGAACUCCGGGAAGAGGGGAAAGCCUUGAAUGAGGAGAUGGAGCUGAAUCUGAGCCAGCUUCAGGAGAAAUGUCUCUUAGCCAAGGAUAUGUUGGUGAGCAUUCAGGCAAAGAUGGAACAAGAGAACUCCUUCGACUUUCUCAAAGACAUCACAACUCUCUUAGAUAGCUUGGAGCAAGGAAUGAGGAUGUUGGCAACCAGAGAGCUUAUUUCCAGAAAGCUGAACCUGGGCCAGUACAAAGGUCCUAUCCAGUACAUGGUAUGGAGGGAAAUGCAGGACACUCUCUGCCCAGGCCUAUCUCCACUAACUCUGGACCCUAAAACAGCUCACCCAAAUCUGGUGCUCUCCAAAAGCCAAACGAGCGUCUGGCAUGGUGACAUUAAGAAGGUAAUGCCUGAUGAUCCAGAGAGGUUUGACUCAAGUGUGGCUGUGCUGGGCUCAAGAGGCUUCACCUCUGGAAAGUGGUACUGGGAAGUAGAAGUAGCAAAGAAGACAAAAUGGACAGUUGGAGUUGUCAGAGAAUCCAUCAUUCGGAAGGGCAGCUGUCCUCUAACUCCUGAGCAAGGAUUCUGGCUUUUAAGACUAAGGAACCAAACUGAUCUAAAGGCUCUGGAUUUGCCUUCUUGCAGUCUGGCACUGACUAACAACCUCGACAAGGUGGGCAUAUACCUGGAUUAUGAAGGAGGGCAGGUGUCCUUCUACAAUGCUAAAACCAUGACUCACAUUUACACCUUCAGUAAUACUUUCAUGGAGAAACUUUAUCCCUACUUCUGCCCCUGCCUUAAUGAUGGUGGAGAGAAUAAAGAACCAUUGCACAUCUUACAUCCACAGUAAUGAGCCAUACUAUUAUACAAAUUCAGAGUGUGAUUAAAGAGGUAUUGAAAUAUUU
Molecule: small RNA, 5671 nt
Filed under: Pongo abelii (Sumatran orangutan)
Lineage: Eukaryota; Metazoa; Chordata; Mammalia; Primates; Hominidae
Description: retained intron
Source: RNAcentral